This 83-nucleotide transfer RNA is filed under the name Aquificaceae bacterium. Its description in RNAcentral is "tRNA-Leu". It matches the Rfam family "tRNA". Rfam says of the family: Transfer RNA (tRNA) molecules are approximately 80 nucleotides in length. The record is from RNAcentral. Lineage: Bacteria; Pseudomonadati; Aquificota; Aquificia; Aquificales; Aquificaceae.
GGGGGUGUGGCGGAACUGGCAGACGCACCAGACUUAGGAUCUGGCGGGCAACCGUAGGGGUUCGACUCCCCUCUCUCGCACCA